CAGUUCGGAUUGUAGUCUGCAACCGACUACAUGAAGCUGGAAUCGCUAGUAAUCGCGGAUCAGAAUGCCGCGGUGAAUACGUUCCCGGGUCUUGUACACACCGCCCGUCACACCAUGGGAGUCGGAAAUGCCCGAAGUCUGUGACCUAACCGUAAGGAAGGAGCAGCCGAAGGCAGGUCGGAUGACUGGGGUGAAGUCGUAACAAGGUAAC
This 211-nucleotide ribosomal RNA is filed under the name uncultured bacterium. RNAcentral's name for it is "partial 16S ribosomal RNA". It matches the Rfam family "Bacterial small subunit ribosomal RNA", at positions 1289 to 1500 of the family's 1533-position model. The record is from RNAcentral.